Molecule: long non-coding RNA, 5100 nt
Organism: Gasterosteus aculeatus aculeatus (three-spined stickleback)
Lineage: Eukaryota; Metazoa; Chordata; Actinopteri; Perciformes; Gasterosteidae
Source: Ensembl
CCAAUAAACUGUUGUAUAUGCUUUUGGAAACACGUCUCUCGCCUGCUCAGUGUAACGAACUUGUGUUGUCCUUUUGUUUAGAUUUAGUAAUUUACCUUAUUCAUAGAUUUCUUUCUUUUCCCUGGGUGAUUUCUCCCAGGGUGGCGUUGCUGGUUUCCUUUAGUUUCUUUCUUUUUCCCCUAGUUAAAAACAUAGAUUAUUGGGGUAGUUCCUACCCCACCUCACGCUUGCCACAUUAGCAACAAUUGGAAACGGUGUCUCCCAGAAAAUUUCUGUGCUUGUUCGGAACACGCUGAAUGUGCAGCAGCGCGGUGAAAAAGCUGUGGUCUAAAACAACAAAAAGAGUACAAAAAGAUGACUAAAAUGUACAAAAUGUUGUUCACUUUGAGUGAAACUGGGUUUCUGUCUUGAAUUCACUCUAACCAUUCGCAAUCCAAGCUCACUGCAGCUCUCCCUCUCUCCACCAAGGAGCAUGCUACACACUGUUCAUAACUUUCUGGAAACUGUUUUGUUUGUAAGGAUUGCCUCAGUCUACCAGCAAGUGGGUAAUUUUGCUCACCCUUUACUGUGAGCAAACUGUGUUAUACUGUCAUACUGUGUUAUACUUUAAAAUGUCAGGGUCCUGCUAUAGGAACACGGGGUAUCAAUAGGUCUGUUUGUCAUGGUUCCUGUUGUUGUGUUGUUGUCCUCGCUGGUAAAAAUGUGACUGGGGGAAGGGCGCAAGGGUGGAACUGCGCAGACAGGUCGAAGAGGACGGUGUCCAAUGGAUUCCAGCAGCAUAUGUUUCAUCUUUAUGGAGUCAAAAAUAUGUGAUAAUUUAGCUGUUUGGCUCAAAUUCAUUUAGGGACCGUUCUAAAUGGCUGGUGCCCCCCCUGGUUUAAUCUAAGAAUUGAAAUAGUUUAUUGGUCAAGUUCUCCCCAUCGCCUGUGUUAUGCUAAAUCUUUUGAAUAAUUAGUGCAUAUUCUUAUUUGCAACAGCGGAUUUCAUUUUUCUUAAAUCACGCUAAAAUAUGACUAAUAGUCGAAUCGGUUUUCCAAUAGGAUCUGUUGUGGGUAGACAUAUAGAAAGAGCAAAAUAUACCGAGAUGGACGAACUUGAGGCUUCCAAGCGGCAGUCCACAAACAAAUGGCCAACGAGAAAACGUGUCAAUGUUCAUUACCCUGCUUGCUUUUUAUCAUUACGAAAUAAACUUUUUUUUUUUUUUCUUUCAUUUUAUUUAUUUUUAUUUUUCUAUUGCCAAGAUGUUGCUAAGAGACCCACACUAUGCACAAAUUAUCCACCGACAGGAUGCUCCUGCAAACCCGGAUAGUGAAAUGAGAUCAACCAUAUUGAUUUAUUCACAUAAAGUUUUAUACUGGAAUACAUUUUUUAUAAUGCUUUAUUGGGAAAAGCCAGUAAGCUCAGACAUCAAGCAGUGACAUUGCUGCUUGCAUAAAAUAUACAUUAAUAAACCAGAAAAAUGUGCAGGUGUAAAUAAAAAUCUGUAGAAAACAAAAGCCCAAUAAAUUAUCAAACCGAAAAAGUGUAGGAAACGACAGUGGGCCGUAUUGAAAUAAUAGCGUGGAACUAAAUUAUUGACAUCAAUAGAAUUAUUAAUAAUCAAUUCUCAGAAUAAAUAAAUAACGGGGAACCACCCUGACCUAACAGGAACUAAUAGCCAAGCCUCAUAACUAAUAUUCACUCCUUGAGAGUUGUAUGUGAUGGUAAUAGUAUGUCAACUGUCACCACUAUAUAAAUCCAUCCAUCUUCAGCCGCUUAUCCGGGGUCGGGUCGUGGGGGCAAGCAGGGGACCCCAAACUUCCCCUUUCCCGGGCCACAUCUACCAGCUCUGACUGGGGGAUCCCAUGGCGUUCCCAAGCCAGUGCAGAGAUAUAAUCUCUCCACCUAGUCCUGGGUCAUCCCCGGGGCCUCUUCCCAGCUGGCCGUGCCUGAAACACCUCCCUAGGAAGGCGUCCAGGGGGAUUCCUUACUAGAUGCCCAAACCACCUCAACUGGCUCCUUUCGACGCAAAGGAGCAGCGGCUCUACUCCGAGCUCCUCACAAAUGGCUGAGCUUUUCACCCGAUCUCUAGGGGAGACGCCAGCCACUCUCCUGAGGAAACCCACUUCGGAAGCUUGUACCCGUGACCUAGUUCUUUCGGUCAUGACCCAUCCUUCAUGACCAUAGGUGAGGGUAGGAACGAAGAUUGACCGGUGUGGUCUGGAUCCCAAUGGGGGUCGUCGUUAUCAGCCCCUGGAUCAGACAUGAGGGUCUCCCUCCAUGUUUCUGUGUUUUUACUUUGUCUUCAGUGAAGAAAAACAUGGUGAGGUUCACGAGCAUAAUGGAGGACCCAACUAAAGUAUAAUAAAUGAGUAAAUCCCAAAACAUAACAAGAGAUUAACUGUGAAUAUAAUCAGAUUGCGUCUGGAGUCAAGCUUCUUGAUUUGAAUAGUUGGCCUUCCUACGCGCUAUAGCAGUAUAGAGAUAUGUAGUUUAAUAGAAAGUUAGCGUAUUUCCCUCGUAUUAUGUUAUGCACACACAUACAUGCUACAGUAUACUGUAUAUUGUGAAUUUAAAGCCUGCAUACCUACACAAGGUGGGUGUUUGACAUUCAAAACACAGAAUCCGUUUAUAAUGUGAGUGGGCACACUUCAUUUCCUGAGAAUAUCAUCAAAUACUUUUUUAUGACAGUGUUAUGCACUUGUUUCGCUGCUGGUUUCCAAAUUUAAAAGAAACCGUCGUCGAAAACAUUGAAUAUGCAGUGCAAUGGUUCUGCUGCAUGCUGUUCGAUGGCAUUAUCUAACCCACACAGUGUGCAAAUGGUUCCCUAGAUGUAGGAUUUCCAUUUACGCCUCAGUCUGAUAACUAUACUUAGAUCUGUCCAUGUGCUCUUUCUAUACCGUUAAUGAUCAGCUCUGCAUUUGAAUUUUCCAUUAUUUCCCCUGUCUGAUGCUUUUGAAUGUGCUACUUACUAGUUCACCAUGUAAAUCGCUUAAGCGCCUCCAGGAUGAAGGUCCAAAGCAGAACCGUGCUUUGGUUGCUGCGCCCUUUGUUGUGUUGCCUGCUAAGAAGAAAAAGUAUAACAGGCUCUUUCAGGACAUUUCAGAGAACACAACUCUCUGUUCCUCUGAGGAUCUGUGGAAUUUUUUUGAGAGAGUUGAGACAACUCUGCUUCUGACAUAAUCCUCCAAGACUUUUUGUAUCACUGCUAAAUAUAGCUUCUCGAGUGUUAAGACUUCCACGUCACAUUUGAUAGAAGUAGAGAAAGGAAAAUCCCCACACACUGCAGCGUCAAAUAGUGGUAAUGCUCAUUUUAUAGAAUGAAGCAUACAUUUACAGCAGUUUGUGACUGCCCAUGAUGUGUAAAAAUCAUGUGUCGGCAGCAUGGAAACAAUUCAAAUGAUAAGUAAAUUAGUGUCCUUUACUAUGUUAAACGUAAAUGCAUCAACAUAAAUAUACAGCACUUAGUUGUUUUAGAAUUAGCCACUAGUUGUUUUUACAACUAAUAGUUUAACUAAUUUUAAGUUCUACCAUGAAGUUAUUUUCCCUUUAGCCCAAAAAGGUCAUUUUGUGGCCCAGCCAUGAUGUUAGUCCUACACCUAAUGCUAUUUUAGUUUUUAACAUACGUUCAUUUUAACUUUCUGUCCCGUUACAAAUAUCAAUGUUAAAGUUUUUAAUUAAAAGCAUCCCAGAGUCAUAUUGCUUUAAAGUAAAACCCGUUUUAACUUGUGUAAGAAGUUCAAUCAGGACCGCAGAUUGAGAACAUUGGUUUCCGGGGCCUUGAAAUGCUUAGCUAGUGAUCGGUAAAUGCAUAUUUUCACACAAGAUCAUCUGGUGUAGGCAUAUCAGCUAGUGUCGAAAGGAGCUCAAAUCGAAAGGCACCAUUGUGUUUUGCCAAUUUGCUAUUCAACACUGAUAUAAAAUACAAAAAGCCACUUUAACCAAACGCCAGUUGUAAAAGGAACCAUUGAAAGCACAUUGCCGUUAAAAGGUUUACUAAAUAUCCAAGAAUUAUUCUGCAGUAUGCAGGCUGUGUUGUCCUGCUAGGACAGACAUCCUGUAUUUUGAAGAUGUGGGUUGUCUUUUUGGCUCUGCAAACUCUUAGAUUUCAUCUGCCAUGUAAGUCUAAACGUAUAGCAGAUGAAUAAGCGUAUUGUGCAUUUUCCAAAGCCAAUGUAGAUAUAUAGUGUACUUACAUGAUUUUAUGGCCAAAUAAUAAAUUCUGGAACAGCAGGAUUGCAUCCAGCAGUCAGUGAUUCAGCUCAGUAAGAGCAUUGCUUUGAACUCCUUUUACAACCAUAUUGACUUGGUCAUAAAGCAGCAAUAAAUCCAUAGGCAUUUAAUAAUUUCCCCAUGUCGUCAGUUUACAGAGGCAUAUGUCUAUUCUAUGGUUUGGAGAAGCCGAUGGGUCCAGUGAUGGUAAAAACAAUCACAGGUAUUACGACAGUGAGCUUAAAUCAUUCUGCUGGGAUGCUGACAGUGAUUAAUGUAACUUGAAAUCGUGAAAAAGAAGCAAAGGAGUGGAGCGUCAGCAUUUAAUCACUUUGCAAAACAUUGUAAACCAACAACACCUUGAAGGCCCACCAGCUCACAGAUCCCCACACUGAACUUUGCUGUGAGUAGAUUAUUAACACCUUGCUGUGUACAUCCAGCACAAGGUGCACUAAUGUAACUGGUGUCGUUUCAGCUUGCCGCGUUGCCUUCGGUUUUUAUUAAGAUGCUUGUACAAAUUAGUUCAAAAAGCUAUUAUUUUCCUCGCACAGGGCUCAAGCAAUUGAUUGAGAUCGCUAAAUUGUAAAAGGCAAUUCUAACCCAUAACCAAAGACUUGUUCUUGAGUUAGAGUAACACGUUAACAUGCCCAGCCCUAAUAAUAACAUCUAGAAUUAAAGAUUGAGUUGUCAGAAGACUAGAAAGGGGCUAUACAAAUACAGUACAUUAUUCAAGCAACAUAAUAGAAAAAUAUAUCAGUGCUGCAGUGUCCGAGAUGUAUUUUAUAUGUAGUUGUCCCUGAAGAAUAUUUGAAUUUUCAACUUGAUGCAUGCACUAAUGGUUCAUACUUGAUCAAUAGUUGACCCUACAUGAGUUAAUGGUGUCAGUAAUCAUGCACGAGUACCAGUGUU